GGCGGACGGGUGAGUAAUAUAUAGAUAACGUGCCUCUUAGUCUGGGAUAGCCAUUGGAAACGAUGAUUAAUACUAGAUACUCCUUCUUAUCACAUGAUAAGUCGGGAAAGUUUUUUCGCUAAGAGAUCGGUCUAUAUCGCAUCAGUUAGUUGGUGGGGUAACGGCCUACCAAGACAAUGACGCGUAGCGGGUUCGAGAGGAUGAUCCGCCACACUGGUACUGAGACACGGACCAGACUCCUACGGGAGGCAGCAGUGAGGAAUAUUGCACAAUGGGGGAAACCCUGAUGCAGCAACGCCGCGUGGAGGAUGACGCAUUUCGGUGUGUAAACUCCUUUUAUGAGUCAAGAAAAUGACGGUAGCUCAUGAAUAAGCACCGGCUAACUCCGUGCCAGCAGCCGCGGUAAUACGGAGGGUGCAAGCGUUACUCGGAAUCACUGGGCGUAAAGGACGCGUAGGCGGGUUAUCAAGUCAGGUGUGAAAUCCUAUGGCUCAACCAUAGAACUGCACUUGAAACUGGUAACCUAGAGUAUGGGAGGGGCAGAUGGAAUUAGUAGUGUAGGGGUAAAAUCCGUAGAUAUUACUAGGAAUACCGAAAGCGAAGGCGAUCUGCUGGAACAUUACUGACGCUAAGGCGUGAAAGCGUGGGGAGCAAACGGGAUUAGAUACCCCGGUAGUCCACGCCCUAAAC
Molecule: ribosomal RNA, 690 nt
Filed under: uncultured bacterium
Lineage: Bacteria
Also listed under: 1 other name
Description: bacterial SSU rRNA
Rfam family: Bacterial small subunit ribosomal RNA
Source: RNAcentral